GUCUCUGAUGAUGAUCAAACAUAAACUUUCGUUCUUCUGAGAAUAAAUUUCAUGCGGAAUGCUUUAUGGAGACCUGAACUGAAGAGAC
Small nucleolar RNA from Rhododendron vialii, 88 nucleotides. RefSeq annotates it as small nucleolar RNA Z159/U59. The record is from RefSeq and is a predicted model, not a curated record. The transcript has a single exon. Lineage: Eukaryota; Viridiplantae; Streptophyta; Magnoliopsida; Ericales; Ericaceae.